UCCAGAUCCAUGAUGGAAAAUGGCUGCAGUGAGCGUAUACUAAAUGAGAUUUUAGGAACUUUAAAUGACAUUACUGAAUUUUGCAUCAUACAAUAUUUUACUCAUCAUUUUGCAUUUGGAUCCUGUAGACUAAAUUGUGAGAAGCUGAAAGGAAGUACAUCAAAGAUUAUUUUUAAGACCCUCAAAGCAGUAAUAGGAGUUCAAUAAACUUCAGGCUAGCAAAAUGCAGUUUCACUUGACAGUUGUAUUAUGAGGAUGGAUGAUACCAUUAGUUGUGUUUUUCCUUUCACACCUGCUUUCACUUUCAUGCCAGAAGCUGACCCACAGUGCAGCAUGAAACAACAAUCAUUCUUACUUCAAGAUGAGAUCCAGAACUUCAGAAUGAGAUCCAGCUUGAGGCUUCUCAACAAAAGCUAUGAAGACAUAGCAAGAUGUUUGUCUUCUAGAUUCUCCAGUGCUAGCUACCCCUACCCAUCACUGAGUCAAUCCUGUGUUCAUUGUAUUUCCAUGCAAAGGAAAGAAGAAAAAUGUCUGCUGAAAGCUGUGUCAUAUGUUGGAAGUUUUUAGAAAGGUUAAAGAACAAAAGACAAAAUUUGUGUGGGGCCUAGCCUUGGAGAAAAGAAUAACUAUGCAAACUAUGCCAAAGGUAAAAGAAUAACCCUUCUGUAAAACUUCUGUAGGGUUAUAGCUCAUAAGUGAGCAGCGUAGGGUUAGAUGAAUGGUGUAGACAAGAGAGUCCAAC
Molecule: long non-coding RNA, 742 nt
Filed under: Coturnix japonica (Japanese quail)
Lineage: Eukaryota; Metazoa; Chordata; Aves; Galliformes; Phasianidae
Description: lncRNA (ENSCJPG00005013882.1)
Source: RNAcentral